GUUGACUAAUCUAAUCAUCUUGUGGAUAUGAUAUGGUAGUUUGACUCUGACAAGCUAGGUAGGAGCUUGGAAAUGAACGGGUCAAAUGGAUACAAGUUCAAGUAUGAAGCUCGCAAGGAUGCAAGAAAUAGUUAUCGAGUGGAUAAUUACAUCGCUACACUUAGCGGCUAUUGAGGCAAGGUAUUUAAAUGGGUCAAUAUAAUGAUCCGAGCCAGGUACAUUUUGAUGCCGGAAGACGAUCAAGCUUAACGAAGAACCGAACACGAUAAAGAUACAUGCUUCCGCAAGUUGUCGCCGUUUUACAUUUCAAAUGACGAAUUUAAUUACACUAAGUUGUUUUACUUUCAAGUCUAGAAAAGUUUUAAUAAACCCGUAUUUGAGCAAGAAUGUUUAAAUCUAAAUACUCAUUAAAUUUGUAAUUAUAACCUGGUUGUUACAAGUUGGUAAUCAGAGCUCAAGGUUAAAAGAAUAAAGUGUUC
Molecule: long non-coding RNA, 479 nt
Organism: Helianthus annuus (common sunflower)
Lineage: Eukaryota; Viridiplantae; Streptophyta; Magnoliopsida; Asterales; Asteraceae
Exons: 3
Source: RefSeq, a predicted model, not a curated record